RNAcentral lists this ribosomal RNA (404 nucleotides) under uncultured bacterium. Its description in RNAcentral is "bacterial SSU rRNA". It matches the Rfam family "Bacterial small subunit ribosomal RNA", at positions 29 to 417 of the family's 1533-position model. The record is from RNAcentral.
ACGAACGCUGGCGGCGUGCCUAACACAUGCAAGUCGAGCGGGAAAGUUCCCUUCGGGGAGCGAGUACAGCGGCGAACGGGUGAGUAACACGUAGGUAACCUACCCUGGGGACUGGGAUAACCUGCCGAAAGGCGGGCUAAUACCAGAUAAGACCACGAGGGCUGCGGCUCUUGGGGUAAAAGAUGGCCUCUACUUGUACGCUAUCACUCCGGGAUGGGCCUGCGCGCCAUUAGCUAGUUGGUGGGGAACGCUCACCAAGGCUGAGAUGGCUAGCUGGUCUGAGAGGAUGGCCAGCCACACUGGGACUGAGACACGGCCCAGACUCCUACGGGAGGCAGCAGUGGGGAAUAUUGCGCAAUGGGCGAAAGCCUGACGCAGCGACGCUGCGUGGGUGAUGAAGGCCU